UUGGGGAGGUCAGCUAAGGUAUGGGGGAGCGUACCAGUAAGGUAAUUCUGAGCGAGAUCGAGGUGUUGUAGAUGCUGGCAGGAGGAAAUGUCAAGAGGGAGAUUAUCAUUAACUUAUUGUAGAAGGAAAUGGAAGUGAGGUUCUGGAGGCGGCAGAGGAGUGAAGGAAAUGGGCCGCCUAUGUUGGAGUUGGAAAGGUCGAUGGAAGUGACGGAGUUGGUUUUAGGGUCGCAGCUGACGCCGAACCAUGAACAAGGGGUGGUGUCGCGGUCGGACCAGGAGGAGAGGGUGGAGUCAGCGUCAGAGAGAGAGAGCUUGACUUGGUGGAGGUAGAGACCUUCUUGGUUGAGAGAAAAGGAGGGGGAAGGAGAGAGCAGGAAAAGGAAAGGAAGGAGAAAGAGAAGCAUAGCUGUUAUUGUCUG
This 421-nucleotide unclassified non-coding RNA is filed under the name Hevea brasiliensis (rubber tree). The record is from RNAcentral. Lineage: Eukaryota; Viridiplantae; Streptophyta; Magnoliopsida; Malpighiales; Euphorbiaceae.